CUACGGGUGGCACCAGUAGGGAAUAUUGCGCAAUGGGCGAAAGCCUGACGCAGCAACGCCGCGUGUGGGAUGACGGCUUUCGGGUUGUAAACCACUUUCAGUGAUGACGAAAAUGACGGUAGUCACAGAAGAAGCUCCGGCCAACUACGUGCCAGCAGCCGCGGUAACACGUAGGGAGCAAGCGUUGUCCGGAUUUAUUGGGCGUAAAGAGCUCGUAGGCGGUUUUGUAAGUCGGAUGUGAAAACUCAGGGCUCAACCCGGAGACGCCAUCUGAUACUGCAAUGACUAGAGUCCGGUAGGGGAGCAUGGAAUUCCUGGUGUAGCGGUGGAAUGCGUAGAUAUCAGGAGGAACACCAGUGGCGAAGGCGGUGCUCUGGGCCGGUACUGACGCUGAGGAGCGAAAGCGUGGGGAGCAAACAGGAUUAGAUACCCGCGUAGUC
RNAcentral lists this ribosomal RNA (440 nucleotides) under uncultured bacterium. RNAcentral's name for it is "partial 16S ribosomal RNA". It matches the Rfam family "Bacterial small subunit ribosomal RNA", at positions 339 to 795 of the family's 1533-position model. The record is from RNAcentral.